This 253-nucleotide ribosomal RNA is filed under the name uncultured bacterium. RNAcentral's name for it is "partial 16S ribosomal RNA". It matches the Rfam family "Bacterial small subunit ribosomal RNA", at positions 524 to 776 of the family's 1533-position model. The record is from RNAcentral.
UACGAGGGGGGCGAGCGUUGUUCGGAAUUAUUGGGCGUAAAGGGUGCGUAGGCGGUUCCGCAAGUCCUGUGUGAAAUCUUCGGGCUCAACUCGAAGUCUGCACGGGAAACUGCGGGGCUUGAGUGUGGGAGAGGUGAGUGGAAUUCCCGGUGUAGCGGUGAAAUGCGUAGAUAUCGGGAGGGACACCAGUGGCGAAGGCGGCCUUCUGGACCAGUACUGACGCUCAUGCACGAAAGCGUGGGGAGCAAACAGG